GUACAAUUUCUACUUAAAAUAUCAAAGGGACGCAAAUGGCACUCAUUUUGUGGAACCACCCUCUAAUACCCUGAACGGCAACAAGGCUCACAUCUAUAGAGCACUAAGAACUCUAGCUACGGGCAAAAAAUAACUGUUAGUGAAAUACCAGCCUUUUUAUUUAUUUUUAUAUAAAUGCUGCUUUUUUUUGGCAACCACAUCAGAUAAUUUUCUUUGGACCUUAAAUGGCCUAGUUUGGGCUGUAAACAAGCUAGUGUACACCAAUAGCAAUGGAGACAGUAAAGCUGCCUGUCUGCAAACAACAUCUGUGAGUGUUAGCAGGACUAGUGAAAUGAACAACAUGACUGUCGACAGAACUGCCUGUUACCUCCUAUCCACAUUAUAUGUACACUGAACAAAAAUAUGAACGCAACAUGCAACAAUUUCAAAGAUUUUACUGAGUUACAGUUCAUUUAAGGAAAUCAGUCGAUUGAAAUAAAUGCAUUAGGCAGUAGUAGUCUAUGGAUUUCACAUGACUGGGAAAACAGAUACCUUAAAAAAAUAUAUCACAAAACCAGUCAGUAUCUGAUGAGACCACCAUUUGCAGUGCGACGCAUCUCCUCGCAUAGAGUUUAUCAGGCUGUUGAUUGUGGUCUGUGAAAUGUUGUCACACUCCUGUGCUGUGCGAAGUUGCUGGAUAUGGGCAGGAACUGAAACACGCGGUCGUACCCGUUGAUCCAGAGCAUCCCAAACAUGUUCAGUGGGUGACAUGUCUGGUGAAUAUGCAUGGAAGAACUGGGACAUUUUCAGCUUCCAGGAUUUUUGUACAGAUCCUUGCGACAUGGGGCCGUGCAUCAUCAUGCUGCAACAUGAGGUGAUGGGGACAGAUAGAUCGCACGACAGUGGGCCUCAGGAUCUCAUCACGCAAUCUCUGUGCAUUCAAAUUGCCAUUGAUAAAAUGCAAUUGUGUUUGUUAUGCCUUAUGCCUGCCCAUACCAUAACCCCACCGCCACCAUGGAGCACUCUGUUCACAGCGUUGACGUCAGCAAACCGCUUGCCCACACGACGCCAUACAUGCUGUCUGCCAUCUGCUCGGUACAAUUGAAACCGGGAAUAAUCCGUGAAGAGCACAUGCCUCCAGCAUGCCAGUGGCCAUUGAAGGUGAGCAUUUGCCCACUGAUGUCAGUUACGAUGCCGAAGUGCAGUCAGGUCAAGACCCUGGUGAGGAUGAUGAGCACGCAAAUGAGCUUACCUCAGACAGCUUCUGACAGUUUGUGCCAAAAUUCUUCGGUUGUGCAAAUCCACAGUUUCAUCAGCUGUCCGAGUGGCUGGUCUCAGACAAUCCCGCUGGUGAAGAAGUCUGAUGUGGAGGUCAUGGGUUGGCGUGGUUACAUGUGGUCUGAGGCCGGUUGGGCUUAUUGCCAAAUUCUCUAACGAGGCGGCUUAUGGUAGAGAAAUGAACAUUAAAUGAUCUGGCAACGGCUCUGGUGGACAUUCAUGCAGUGAGCAUGCCAAUUGCACGCUCCCUUAAAACUUGACACAUCUCUGGCAUUGUGUUGUGUGAUAAAAUUGCCCAUUUUAGAGUGGCCUUUUAUUCCCCCCAGCACAAGGUGCACCUAUGUAAUGAUCAUGCUGUUUAAUCAGCUUCUUGAUAUACCACACCUGUCAGGUGGAUGGAUUAUCUUGGCAAAGGAGAAAUGCUCACUAACAGGUAAACAAUAUGCAAAAAAAAUGUAGAGAAAUUACAUUUUUUGUGCGUAUGGACAUUUCUGGGAUCUUUUAUUUCAGUUCAUGAAACACCUUCACUUUAAAUGUUGCAUUUAUAUUUUUGUUCAGUAUAGAGAUGCUACCUCCUAUCCUCAUGCUAUUUACAGUAGAUAGGAGAUGGUCAAAUCAACCAGUUGAAUCGGAGAGCAAAACCAGACAGUAAAGCAUCCCAUCAUGUGCUAUUAAUCACUUGGAAUGUGAAGUGACUUAAUAACAAACAGAGGUGUAAAUAGAUAGAUAGCUAGAUGCCAAGACAAAUGUGAAAGACAAAAGUAAUGUGAACAAUCACUUGAUGAUAACCCUUAUUGUAAAGCUAUGUAUAUUUUUGUGAAUAUUGUAAAUAAUCUAAAAUGUUAUAAGGCGAAAGUCAAAUGUAAUGUGCGAGGUUGGUGCUUUAGAAGCAUUCUAAAUAUCAUGUUGUUAAAUAAGACAUUGUUAAGUGGCUACGUUUGGCCAGUAUUCCCAAAUAUAUUAUAAUGUUUGUAUCCACUGUGAGGUAACUAAAAUGCUACAUGCUGCAGUGUUGGAUCAUCAAUAUACAGUAUUGUUAAAAGUGAACUUGGGGCACAGUAAUUGGGCAUUACAUUUAAAACACAAAACAAUGUGUCUUUCUAUCUGGGUCUGACACCACUAGAACUUCAGCUGUUUGUAUUCUGAUUGUACAUAAUAAUAUUGUACACAAUUUCAUACCAAAAUGUGUAUCUUUUGUGAACCUGAUAAGGUUGAGAUUGUGUUAUGAAAAUAUAAGCCAAAAUAGUCAUUGGCUUAUUAUCAGUAGAUCUGACCCAGAUGAUGAAGUUUCAAAUAUAUUUUCUAUAUGUAAUAAAUAUAUUGCCAAUCUUACUCACCAGAGCUCUUGCAUCAAAAUGAAAUAGUUAAAGGCGCAGUGCAGUCAAAAACAUGAUUGUCCUGUGUUUUAUAUAUAUUUCCACCCUAUGAGUUUGGAACAAUACUGUGAAAUUGUGAAAAUUAUGAUAAUGCCCUUUUAGUGUAAGAACUGUUUGAAAAGACCACCUGAAAUUUCAGCCUGUUUUGUUGGGAUGGAGUUUUGUCCUGCCUGGUGACAUCAGUUAAUAGACCAAAAAGAAAGAGUUCCAAACCUCUCAGCCAAUAACAGCUCGUUUUCAGUUUUCCCCUCUCAACUCAGACCACUCCCAGACAGUCAAAAAUAUUGGUAGAGAAAUUGCUCUUUGCUUAGAAGCUAUUUUUGUUUCUUUUUGGCCAUUUUACGUUAAGACAAUCACAGUAAGGUACUUAACUGUUACCCAGAAAUGAUUGGAUAUUGAGACAAAAGCAGCUGCAUUGGACCUUAAACAUUGCCAUAUACUGGCUCCAUCCUGGAAUCUUAAUGGUGUACUUGUUCUGACAAACAUUCUACUACUUAUUAAUGAACUCAUCCUGAUCAUUUGUGAUCUCAAGUAAAACAUGUAUUGUUUCUCUCUGUGUAUAUAGACAUAUGGGCACUUAGAUGUAUAUAAUGCAUGUUAGCAGUGAGUACAUUCAUUGUGAGGGACAAACAACUGUGUUGAGUUGUAUUGUGUUGCUUCAGUUGUAAUAUCAUGUGCCAUGCAAAGCUAAUCCAAAGUUAAUGCAAAGCCAAAAGAGUCUCACCGUCAUAGAAUCCAUGAAUGUUCUUUGGUGUGUCUUUACUUUUUGUGUUUGGGGGGUUUGAAUAGAAGUACAUGUUUUUUUAAUAGGAGAAAGGGGAUGUUUUUUGGAAGGAAAAUAUGUUUGGAAGAGAAAUAGAAAACCCAAUACACUAGGAAAAUUGGCAUUAGACCCUACUUAUGUAUAAUGUAUUUUAAGUGUUGCUUGCUGCAGAUCCCGAUAGAGAAGGUAUGUUAUCUCAAAGCUUUGAGUCUUAGUUGUAUGUUAACAUGUAUAUAUGUCUCCACAGAGGUAAACAGAGUAUAAAUAUAUAGUUGUGUAUAAAAAAAAUAUAUAUAUUAAAGUAUUUACCUAGAGCCAAUC
This is a long non-coding RNA of Oncorhynchus tshawytscha (Chinook salmon), 3717 nucleotides long. NCBI's taxonomy places the organism in Eukaryota, Metazoa, Chordata, Actinopteri, Salmoniformes, Salmonidae. The record is from Ensembl.